RNAcentral lists this long non-coding RNA (1086 nucleotides) under Phasianus colchicus (ring-necked pheasant). Its description in RNAcentral is "lncRNA (ENSPCLG00000014223.1)". The record is from RNAcentral. Lineage: Eukaryota; Metazoa; Chordata; Aves; Galliformes; Phasianidae.
AGCUGUCCCACACAGCUGGGUCUGGAAUUUAAUAAUAUUUCCCCUAUUUAAGAGGAAAAAGGCAGAUUUCCAAUGAAUUCACAAAGUUAAAAAUAUUUGCUCUACUCAUCUCUCAUUUUUUCCUAUUUAGGAACUGAUAAACUUUGCCCUGAUUCCACUCAGCUCUUCAGGGGCAAACACAGUUCAGCUGAAAUUGCAAGCCAAGGAAGGUGCCUGUGACUAUACUUGGAUCCAAGCCAUGGUCACUCAUUUCCUACCCUGGUGUUUUAGCUACAUCCUUCCUGCAGUCAGUCUGUGCCUGAGGUUCCCAAGCAUUUGCCAAAGCUUUAUUGAAGUUGAUUUUUGCAUAUGUAGACAAGAAAUGCAGGACUUCCCAAGAAGAAUUUAGGAGUGUUACUUGAGUGAAGAAAAUACCAAGGUGAAUCCCCAAGGUGAAAAAAACAUGGAGGAACUUUCAAGCUUUCUCCUGUUUCCCUUUUAUUCUGUAUUUUGUUUUGCAUGGACUUGCUAAUCUUGUGCAUCUGCCUGCUCACCUCUCCUGUGCUUUAGAUUUCUGCUUCGUUUGCCUUGGUCAUUCUCCUCCAGAGAAACCAUUCACUCACUAAAUCUCCUUCUAUUCCAAAUUUUCCUUCGAUGUUUCUUUUGUUUCCCUAAUUUCCUGUAAGGGAUUAUGGUCUACCUCUGAAAUUGUGACUGUAUGAUAUGAAAGACUGCUUUUAAAUAAGAUCCAAAGGUAUUUCUCUUCCUGCAGAUGUUUGGUUUGAAGGAUGGCCUGGGAAGAAAAGAGUUUCCUUUGCAUCAUGUUAGCAUGCAGCCACUUGAAGUAUUUGCUAUAACUUCCUCGUUCCUUGUUAGUGCAACUAAAACGUGAUGUUACUGCAGGAGUCACCUGCAAUGAUCUGAGCCUACACGAGGUGGCAGUACCGGUAUCCCACUGGUUCGUUCUCUUGGGUUAACUGGUUUCCAAAAAAUCUCCCUGUAAAUUAAUUGAUUCAUGUCAGAAGUGGGCAAGCUUGCAAACAAGUCCAUCUGGUAAGCAGCUUACUAUAUUUCUAUAUAAAUAAAGGAGAUCAUCCAACUUUUCCA